This is a non-coding RNA of Picea glauca (white spruce), 121 nucleotides long. NCBI's taxonomy places the organism in Eukaryota, Viridiplantae, Streptophyta, Pinopsida, Pinales, Pinaceae. The record is from Rfam.
AUGUAAUUUAAUGCCUACAUCGUUAAUGCAUUGGAUCCCAUUAGAACUACACAGUUAAGCAUGCUUGGGAUAGAGUAGUACUAGAUGGGUGACCUCUCGGGAAGUCCUAGUAUUUUACAUG